This 253-nucleotide ribosomal RNA is filed under the name uncultured Rikenellaceae bacterium. RNAcentral describes it as "partial 16S ribosomal RNA". It matches the Rfam family "Bacterial small subunit ribosomal RNA", at positions 524 to 776 of the family's 1533-position model. The record is from RNAcentral. Lineage: Bacteria; Pseudomonadati; Bacteroidota; Bacteroidia; Bacteroidales; Rikenellaceae.
UACGGAGGAUCCGAGCGUUAUCCGGAUUUAUUGGGUUUAAAGGGUGCGUAGGCGGUUUGAUAAGUUAGAGGUGAAAUGUCGGGGCUCAACCCCGAAACUGCCUCUAAUACUGUUGGACUAGAGAAUAGUUGCGGUAGGCGGAAUGUAUGGUGUAGCGGUGAAAUGCUUAGAGAUCAUACAGAACACCGAUUGCGAAGGCAGCUUACCAGUCUGCGACUGACGCUCAGGCACGAAAGUGUGGGUAUCGAACAGG